This 253-nucleotide ribosomal RNA is filed under the name uncultured bacterium. RNAcentral's name for it is "partial 16S ribosomal RNA". It matches the Rfam family "Bacterial small subunit ribosomal RNA", at positions 524 to 776 of the family's 1533-position model. The record is from RNAcentral.
UACGAAGGGUGCAAGCGUUAUCCGGAUUCAUUGGGUUUAAAGGGUGCGUAGGCGGGUCGUUAAGUCAGUGGUGAAAUCCUGCAGCUCAACUGUAGACUUGCCAUUGAUACUGAUGAUCUUGAGUGCGCUUGAAGUAGGCGGAAUAUGUCGUGUAGCGGUGAAAUGCUUAGAUAUGACAUAGAACACCAAUUGCGAAGGCAGCUUACUAAAGCGAUACUGACGCUGAGGCACGAAAGCGUGGGGAUCAAACAGG